RNAcentral lists this long non-coding RNA (1123 nucleotides) under Struthio camelus australis. Its description in RNAcentral is "lncRNA (ENSSCUG00000015128.1)". Lineage: Eukaryota; Metazoa; Chordata; Aves; Struthioniformes; Struthionidae. The record is from RNAcentral.
GCAGCAGCCGCUGCUCGUGGGGCUCCCCGGAGGCUCCUGCUGGCCCUGGUCCAGCCCUGGACCAGUGCGUGGGCGACGGCUGCGUGCACCUAUGCGGGACUGCAGUAGGGCCUGGGAGAGUGGCCCUCCGACGUGGUGCAGCUCUUUUUACCAGCAAAGGGAAGUGUAAGCGUUUCUCUUCUGUUGCAGUUUGCUGCAGGGCCGGGCUCGUACGAUCCAAAGGCCAUUGAGAGGUCAGAAUACUUCAACCAACCCCCAUUUUGGUCGUCUGCCAAGAGAUUUGAUAGAAAGUCCUGCCGCCUCUUUGCUGGGAAUGAGAAUCCUGUAGGUGCUGGUCGCUACAACAUCACCAGACACGAGAAAUAUCCUUGCAAGAUCAGGUACCAGUCCCUGUACCAGUGUGAAACACGGCGGUACCUGAGUAACCUGGAGCGGGAUGCCUACUUGCUGUAAGUCUGGUGUACAACGGCUGCUCCGAGGGGUUUCAUAUUGGCUUACAGGAAGAGCAUUCGCCCUGAGCAGGUCUCAGGAGACCGAGUGCAUGAUACUGAAACUUUACAACUGAAGCGAGAGGCUAAAGAGCAGAGGAACGAUCAUGUUAGAGCACUGGAUUGGGACUGAGCAAUGCUUGCCAGCACCACCACAGGUUCCCUCUGGGAAUAGGCAAUUUAGCUGUCUGCUGCCCCCCCAGGAAAGCGAGGAGACGUGAGUGCUUCCCCACCAGGUAAGGGGGUUGGAUUACUGGCUAUCAAGGCACUUUACAGGUACUAAGGUGGCAGUGCUCUCACCUUAUGGGAUGCACUCUGCACGCAGUGGAGCUGCAAAAAGUUUUCAUUUGCGUUAGAGGCAGCAGCCUGCAAGAGGACAGGACGCUGUGUUGGUAAGCAGGCUGUCUGGGCUGCGUUCCCGGCGCUGGCACUGGAUUGCUCAGCAGCCUCCAAUGAAAAUCACUUUUGCAUACUGUGCCUUAGUUUACCUAUUUGGAGAAGGAAGAGGGCAAUGGCAGCGAGCCUUGUUAGGGGCUUUGAAAUUGCCAGGAUGAAAGCCCUGUGAAGCCGUUAGGAACUAUACUAAUGUGAGACCUCGGGAUAGCCCUCUGCUUUCACCUUUGCUUGCGCCCGAG